Molecule: ribosomal RNA, 344 nt
Filed under: Nematoda environmental sample
Lineage: Eukaryota; Metazoa; Nematoda
Description: SSU rRNA
Rfam family: Eukaryotic small subunit ribosomal RNA
Source: RNAcentral
GGUGGAGCGAUUUGUCUGGUUAAUUCCGAUAACGAACGAGACUCUGGCCUAUUAAAUAGCCGGUAUAUAUUGAAAAGUUUACCGCGCUUCUUAGAGGGACAACCGGCGUCUAGCCGCGUGAAAUAGAGCAAUAACAGGUCUGUGAUGCCCUUAGAUGUCCGGGGCUGCACGCGCGCUACACUGAAAGAAUCAGUAUGCGCUUUUACCUAGUUCGGAAGAACCGGGUAACCCUAGCAAAUUCUUUCGUGCUUGGGAUAGGGAAUUGCAAUUAUUUCCCUUGAACGAGGAAUUCCCAGUAAAUGCGGGUCAUAAGCUCGCGUUGAAUACGUCCCUGCCCUUUGUAC